Molecule: long non-coding RNA, 453 nt
Organism: Dreissena polymorpha
Lineage: Eukaryota; Metazoa; Mollusca; Bivalvia; Myida; Dreissenidae
Exons: 3
Source: RefSeq, a predicted model, not a curated record
CGUUCUACGCUCCAAAUAUUACCAAUAUAAAAAGUAGCUACGGAGACAUGACUACGGAAUCCGGAUAUUGUCAUCUAUAAUCUCGCCCGUCUUUCAUUAAGGGCGACACACGACACACGAAGCGAUACACGAUAUUUGAGAGCGUCAACAAGUUGGACUAGAGAAAAUCAAAUAUUGUAGAAUGCUCUCCUCCGUGCAAAAGCUGGGGAAUGUGAUCGUUUGCAAGAAUUUGAUGAAUGGUGCAGUUUAAGCCUUAAAUUAUGCAACAGAGGCCACAUUUGAAACUCAGCCAUACAAGCUGCACAAGUUGACAGAGGGUCCCAGCACCACGGUGAAAAUGACAAGGGCAGAGGGGCUGCAAUUCUACAAGGAAAUGGUCACCAUCCGAAAAAUGGAGACAGUCACCGCUAACCUGUACAUGUCUAAAGCAAUACGGGGAUUCUGUCAUCUGUA